UACGUAGGGGGCUAGCGUUGUCCGGAAUCAUUGGGCGUAAAGAGCGCGUAGGCGGCUAGAUAAGUCCGGUGUGAAAGUCACAGGCUCAACCUGUGAAUGCCGCUGGAAACUGUCUGGCUAGAGUCCGGAAGGGGCGAGUGGAAUUCCUGGUGUAGCGGUGAAAUGCGCAGAUAUCAGGAGGAACACCAAUGGCGAAGGCAGCUCGCUGGGACGGUACUGACGCUGAGGCGCGAAAGCGUGGGGAGCGAACGGG
Molecule: ribosomal RNA, 253 nt
Filed under: uncultured bacterium
Lineage: Bacteria
Description: partial 16S ribosomal RNA
Rfam family: Bacterial small subunit ribosomal RNA
Source: RNAcentral